AAAUUGAAGAGUUUGAUCAUGGCUCAGAUUGAACGCUGGCGGCAGGCCUAACACAUGCAAGUCGAACGGUAACAGGAAGCAGCUUGCUGCUUCGCUGACGAGUGGCGGACGGGUGAGUAAUGUCUGGGAAGCUGCCUGAUGGAGGGGGAUAACUACUGGAAACGGUAGCUAAUACCGCAUAAUGUCGCAAGACCAAAGAGGGGGACCUUCGGGCCUCUUGCCAUCGGAUGUGCCCAGAUGGGAUUAGCUAGUAGGUGGGGUAACGGCUCACCUAGGCGACGAUCCCUAGCUGGUCUGAGAGGAUGACCAGCCACACUGGAACUGAGACACGGUCCAGACUCCUACGGGAGGCAGCAGUGGGGAAUAUUGCACAAUGGGCGCAAGCCUGAUGCAGCCAUGCCGCGUGUAUGAAGAAGGCCUUCGGGUUGUAAAGUACUUUCAGCGGGGAGGAAGGGAGUAAAGUUAAUACCUUUGCUCAUUGACGUUACCCGCAGAAGAAGCACCGGCUAACUCCGUGCCAGCAGCCGCGGUAAUACGGAGGGUGCAAGCGUUAAUCGGAAUUACUGGGCGUAAAGCGCACGCAGGCGGUUUGUUAAGUCAGAUGUGAAAUCCCCGGGCUCAACCUGGGAACUGCAUCUGAUACUGGCAAGCUUGAGUCUCGUAGAGGGGGGUAGAAUUCCAGGUGUAGCGGUGAAAUGCGUAGAGAUCUGGAGGAAUACCGGUGGCGAAGGCGGCCCCCUGGACGAAGACUGACGCUCAGGUGCGAAAGCGUGGGGAGCAAACAGGAUUAGAUACCCUGGUAGUCCACGCCGUAAACGAUGUCGACUUGGAGGUUGUGCCCUUGAGGCGUGGCUUCCGGAGCUAACGCGUUAAGUCGACCGCCUGGGGAGUACGGCCGCAAGGUUAAAACUCAAAUGAAUUGACGGGGGCCCGCACAAGCGGUGGAGCAUGUGGUUUAAUUCGAUGCAACGCGAAGAACCUUACCUGGUCUUGACAUCCACGGAAGUUUUCAGAGAUGAGAAUGUGCCUUCGGGAACCGUGAGACAGGUGCUGCAUGGCUGUCGUCAGCUCGUGUUGUGAAAUGUUGGGUUAAGUCCCGCAACGAGCGCAACCCUUAUCCUUUGUUGCCAGCGGUCCGGCCGGGAACUCAAAGGAGACUGCCAGUGAUAAACUGGAGGAAGGUGGGGAUGACGUCAAGUCAUCAUGGCCCUUACGACCAGGGCUACACACGUGCUACAAUGGCGCAUACAAAGAGAAGCGACCUCGCGAGAGCAAGCGGACCUCAUAAAGUGCGUCGUAGUCCGGAUUGGAGUCUGCAACUCGACUCCAUGAAGUCGGAAUCGCUAGUAAUCGUGGAUCAGAAUGCCACGGUGAAUACGUUCCCGGGCCUUGUACACACCGCCCGUCACACCAUGGGAGUGGGUUGCAAAAGAAGUAGGUAGCUUAACCUUCGGGAGGGCGCUUACCACUUUGUGAUUCAUGACUGGGGUGAAGUCGUAACAAGGUAACCGUAGGGGAACCUGCGGUUGGAUCACCUCCUUA
Molecule: ribosomal RNA, 1542 nt
Filed under: Escherichia coli
Lineage: Bacteria; Pseudomonadati; Pseudomonadota; Gammaproteobacteria; Enterobacterales; Enterobacteriaceae
Description: bacterial SSU rRNA
Rfam family: Bacterial small subunit ribosomal RNA
Source: RNAcentral